GACGAACGCUGGCGGCGUGCUUAACACAUGCAAGUCGAACGGAAAGGCCCUGCUUUUGUGGGGUGCUCGAGUGGCGAACGGGUGAGUAACACGUGAGUAACCUGCCCUUGACUUUGGGAUAACUUCAGGAAACUGGGGCUAAUACCGGAUAGGAUCUCCUGCUGCAUGGUGGGGGUUGGAAAGUUUCGGCGGUUGGGGAUGGACUCGCGGCUUAUCAGCUUGUUGGUGGGGUAGUGGCUUACCAAGGCUUUGACGGGUAGCCGGCAUGAGAGGGUGACCGGGCAAAUUGGGACUGAGAUACGGCCCAGAAGCCUACGGGAGGCAGCAGUGGGGAAUAUUGCACAAUGGGCGGAAGCCUGAUGCAGCAACGCCGCGUGCGGGAUGACGGCCUUCGGGUUGUAAACCGCUUUCGCCUGUGACGAAGCGUGAGUGACGGUAAUGGGUAAAGAAGCACCGGCUAACUACGUG
This 468-nucleotide ribosomal RNA is filed under the name uncultured bacterium. RNAcentral's name for it is "partial 16S ribosomal RNA". It matches the Rfam family "Bacterial small subunit ribosomal RNA", at positions 28 to 507 of the family's 1533-position model. The record is from RNAcentral.